GUCAGCUGAGCGGUGUUUUGUUGACAUUGUGCAAGGGUAUUUUGAGGACUCGUGUCCUUUUUAGCCCUUCUCUGCGGUGAUUUAGUGCGUAUUUCGGCUCGACGGAUUUUUCGAGAGUAGAACGACGUUUUGCAGCACCGUUUUCCCUUUGAAUCAGGAUCAUCAGCCGGCAUCAUGAGGAAGACUCAGGUGUAGCGGCUGCGUGAUAAUCCGAGCGCCCGUAAUUCGAAGGCUUUGCGAACAGGCUCCUGCUAGCGAGUCGUCCGUCGGCUGCCAGGACCAUCUCCGACGCCGCCCCAGCCGGUGACGUCACGGCCUGCGAGGGCCAACUCGCUCCGUCUAGUUAACAGGUACGGUUGGUGGGAGGAGUUGGCAGCCGGUUGGGUUUCUGUGAGUAGUAACCUCAUUAUCUCAUUUGUUAUUUAUGUGUGGAGAGUUAUCACCAUUCGGCAUUUAGCAUUAAGUAUAAAAAAGGUUUGGGUCACCCGUGAGCUAUAUAGCGUUUUAGAAUAAUGAUAAUAAUUAUAUUUUUUCUUCAUUUUGGCUUCACAUAUAAGAGUAAACAGAGAUGAGUUUAAAGAUAGUCAAAUAAAAGUGAAGAUAGACAUUAGAAUAAAGAGGAGAACUUGGCUGUGGCGGUCAGGGGCAGUGGCGAGGGGGGAGGGGCGGGGGGGGGGGGUGACAGAGGUCAGAAAGCAAAAACUCAUUGCUAUUGCGAGGUGCCACUUGCAAAAGAGGUCGUUGACGAAGCUGCUGUGAAGUGACAAACACAGCAUCCUCCCCCAACACAGACCGCAGAAAAAGAGAGAAAAGAAGAGAAAGAGAGA
This is a long non-coding RNA of Penaeus chinensis, 827 nucleotides long. RefSeq lists it as uncharacterized. The transcript has 3 exons. The record is from RefSeq and is a predicted model, not a curated record. NCBI's taxonomy places the organism in Eukaryota, Metazoa, Arthropoda, Malacostraca, Decapoda, Penaeidae.